AAUACAUGCAAGUCGUGGGAGCAAUACUACCGGCAAACGGGUGCGGAACACGUACGCAACCUUCCUUAAAGUGGGGGAUAGCCCAGGGAAACUUGGAUUAAUACCCCGUAAUAUUACGGAGUGGCAUCACUUUUAAUUAUAGCGCAAUAGCUUGAAGAUGGGCGUGCGCCUGAUUAGGUAGUUGGCGGGGUAACGGCCCACCAAGCCUUCGAUCAGUAACUGGUGUGAGAGCACGACCAGUCACACGGGCACUGAGACACGGGCCCGACUCCUAUGGGAGGCAGCAGUAAGGAAUAUUGGUCAAUGGACGAAAGUCUGAACCAGCCAUGCCGCGUGGAGGAUGAAGGUCCUCUGGAUUGUAAACUUCUUUUAUUUGGGAAGAAACCCACGAUUUCUAUUGUGGUUGACGGUACCAGNUGAAUAAG
Molecule: ribosomal RNA, 425 nt
Filed under: grassland soil clone sl1_201
Lineage: Bacteria
Description: bacterial SSU rRNA
Rfam family: Bacterial small subunit ribosomal RNA
Source: RNAcentral